GGGACGAUGGGGGAAAGCUUACACAUGCAAGUCGAGCGGUAGCACAAGGGGAGCUUGCUCCCUGGGUGACGAGCGGCGGACGGGUGAGUAAUGUCUGGGAAACUGCCUGAUGGAGGGGGAUAACUACUGGAAACGGUAGCUAAUACCGCAUAACGUCGCAAGACCAAAGAGGGGGACCUUCGGGCCUCUUGCCAUCAGAUGUGCCCAGAUGGGAUUAGCUAGUAGGUGGGGUAAUGGCUCACCUAGGCGACGAUCCCUAGCUGGUCUGAGAGGAUGACCAGCCACACUGGAACUGAGACACGGUCCAGACUCCUACGGGAGGCAGCAGUGGGGAAUAUUGCACAAUGGGCGCAAGCCUGAUGCAGCCAUGCCGCGUGUGUGAAGAAGGCCUUCGGGUUGUAAAGCACUUUCAGCGAGGAGGAAGGUGGUGAACUUAAUACGUUCAUCAAUUGACGUUACUCGCAGAAGAAGCACCGGCUAACUCUGUGCCAGCAGCCGCU
RNAcentral lists this ribosomal RNA (500 nucleotides) under Serratia marcescens. RNAcentral's name for it is "bacterial SSU rRNA". It matches the Rfam family "Bacterial small subunit ribosomal RNA", at positions 31 to 519 of the family's 1533-position model. The record is from RNAcentral. Lineage: Bacteria; Pseudomonadati; Pseudomonadota; Gammaproteobacteria; Enterobacterales; Yersiniaceae.